Molecule: ribosomal RNA, 464 nt
Filed under: uncultured bacterium
Lineage: Bacteria
Description: bacterial SSU rRNA
Rfam family: Bacterial small subunit ribosomal RNA
Source: RNAcentral
ACUCCUACGGGAGGCAGCAGUGGGGAAUAUUGCACAAUGGGCGCAAGCCUGAUGCAGCCAUGCCGCGUGUGUGAAGAAGGCCUUCGGUUGUAAAGCACUUUCAGUCGUGAGGAAGGUAGUGUAGUUAAUAGCUGCAUUAUUUGACGUUAGCGACAGAAGAAGCACCGGCUAACUCCGUGCCAGCAGCCGCGGUAAUACGGAGGGGUGCGAGCGUUAAUCGGAAUUACUGGGCGUAAAGCGCAUGCAGGUGGUUUGUUAAGUCAGAUGUGAAAGCCCGGGGCUCAACCUCGGAAUAGCAUUUGAAACUGGCAGACUAGAGUACUGUAGAGGGGGUAGAAUUUCAGGUGUAGCGGUGAAAUGCGUAGAGAUCUGAAGGAAUACCGGUGGCGAAGGCGGCCCCCUGGACAGAUACUGACACUCAGAUGCGAAAGCGUGGGGAGCAAACAGGAUUAGAUACCCUGGUA